GGGAUAAUACUCCAUAAGUCAGGAGUACUGGAAUGUCUCCUAACUGAAAGUUGCGGCGCCAUAGGAUGAAUCUGCGGCCGAUUAGGUAGUUGUUGGGGUAACGGCCCAACAAGCCUGUAAUCGGUACGGGUUGUGGGAGCAAGAGCCCGGAGAUGGAAUCUGAGACACGAUUCCAGGCCCUACGGGGCGCAGCAGGCGCGAAAACUUUACAAUGCAGGAAACUGUGAUAAGGGAACCCCGAGUGCCCGUAAACGCGGGCUGUCCCGGUGUUUAAAACACAUCGGAAGAAAGGGCCGGGCAAGACCGGUGCCAGCCGCCGCGGUAAUACCGGCGGCUCGAGUGGUGACCACUUUUAUUGGGCUUAAAGCGUUCGUAGCUUGAUUUUUAAGUCUCUUGGGAAAUCUCACGGCUUAACUGUGAGGCGUCUAAGAGAUACUGGGAAUCUAGGGACCGGGAGAGGUAAGAGGUACUUCAGGGGUAGAAGUGAAAUUCUGUAAUCCUUGAGGGACCACCGAUGGCGAAGGCAUCUUACCAGAACGGCUUCGACAGUGAGGAACGAAAGCUGGGGGAGCGAACGGGAUUAGAUACCCCGGUAGUCCCAGCCGUAAACUAUGCGCGUUAGGUGUGCCUGUAACUACGAGUUACCGGGGUGCCGAAGUGAAAACGUGAAA
This 671-nucleotide ribosomal RNA is filed under the name uncultured rumen methanogen. Its description in RNAcentral is "bacterial SSU rRNA". It matches the Rfam family "Archaeal small subunit ribosomal RNA", at positions 143 to 819 of the family's 1478-position model. The record is from RNAcentral.